AAGGCUAAAUACUCCCUAGUGACCGAUAGUGAACCAGUACCGUGAGGGAAAGGUGAAAAGCACCCCGGAAGGGGAGUGAAAUAGAACCUGAAACCGUGUGCCUACAACAAGUCAAAGCCCGUUAAUGGGUGAUGGCGUGCCUUUUGUAGAAUGAACCGGCGAGUUACGAUUGCAUGCGAGGUUAAGUUGAAGAGACGGAGCCGCAGCGAAAGCGAGUCUGAAUAGGGCGUUUGAGUAUGUAGUCGUAGACCCGAAACCAUGUGAUCUACCCAUGUCCAGGUUGAAGGUGCGGUAAAACGCACUGGAGGACCGAACCCACGUACGUUGAAAAGUGCGGGGAUGAGGUGUGGGUAGCGGAGAAAUUCCAAACGAACUUGGAGAUAGCUGGUUCUCUCCGAAAUAGCUUUAGGGCUAGCCUCGGAAUUGAGAAUGAUGGAGGUAGAGCACUGUUUGGACUAGGGGCCCAUCUCGGGUUACCGAAUUCAGAUAAACUCCGAAUGCCAUUCAUUCAUAUCCGGGAGUCAGACUGUGAGUGAUAAGAUCCAUAGUCGAAAGGGAAACAGCCCAGACCACCAGCUAAGGUCCCAAAAUAUAUGUUAAGUGGAAAAGGAUGUGGGGUUGCACAGACAACUAGG
This 635-nucleotide ribosomal RNA is filed under the name Enterococcus faecium. RNAcentral's name for it is "partial 23S ribosomal RNA". It matches the Rfam family "Bacterial large subunit ribosomal RNA", at positions 462 to 1097 of the family's 2925-position model. The record is from RNAcentral. Lineage: Bacteria; Bacillati; Bacillota; Bacilli; Lactobacillales; Enterococcaceae.